AUGCAUGCGUGCGCGUGCACACACACACACACAGCAGGAUCCCAGGGUUUGUGGCAUCCUACACACAUACACACACACACACACACACAGCAAGACCCCCGGGUUUGUGGCAUCCUACACACACACACACACACACACACACACACACACACACAGAAGGACCCGGGGUUUGUGUGUCAUCCUGCACACACACACACAUACACACGGACCCUGGGAUUCGUGUGUGGCAUCCUACACAUGUACACACAGAAGGACCCCGGGUUUGUGUGUGGCAUCCUACACACACACACACACACACACACACACACAAACAGGACCCCAGGGUUUGUGUGUGACAUCCUACAUACACACACACAACAGGACCCCCGGGUUUGUGUGUGGCAUCCUACACACACACACACACACACAGAAGGACCCCGGGGUUUGUGUGGCAUCCUACACACACACACACACACACACACGGACCCUGGGGUUUGUGUGUGGCAUCCUACACACGUACACACAGAAGGACCCUGGGUUUGUGUGUGGCAUCCUACACACACAGACACACACACAGCAGGACCCCAGGGUUUGUGUGUGGCAUCCUACACACACACACACACGCACGCGUGCGUGCGCACACACACACAGCAGGAUCCCAGGGUUUGUGGCAUCCUACACACAUACACAGCAAGACCCCCGGGUUUGUGGCAUCCUACACACACACACACACACACACACACACACACAGAAGGACCCCGGGGUUUGUGUGGCAUCCUACACACACACACACACACACACACACACACACACACACAAGGACCCCUGGGUUUGUGUGUGACAUCCUACACACACACACACACACACACACACACACACACACAGCAGGACCCCCGGGUUUGUGUGUGGCAUCCUACACACACACACACACACACACACACACACACACACACACACAGAAGGACCCCCGGGUUUGUGUGUGGCAUCCUUCACACACACACACCCCUUGCUUAUGUCCUCCACCCGUCCCUGAAAACAUGA
Molecule: long non-coding RNA, 1020 nt
Filed under: Papio anubis (olive baboon)
Lineage: Eukaryota; Metazoa; Chordata; Mammalia; Primates; Cercopithecidae
Description: lncRNA (ENSPANG00000040095.1)
Source: RNAcentral